Molecule: long non-coding RNA, 2525 nt
Organism: Neofelis nebulosa (Clouded leopard)
Lineage: Eukaryota; Metazoa; Chordata; Mammalia; Carnivora; Felidae
Exons: 2
Source: RefSeq, a predicted model, not a curated record
CCCGGAGAGGCCAGAAGAGGGCGUCUGUUUCAGCCUGGGCCUUCAGGAGAGUCUUUCCCACGGUGGUGAUGACAUUGGGGAGGGGCAAUGGGAGCCAGCUGGGGCGAGGUAGGUGGGGUAGGUGGCAGAGACGAGGGCAAUGCAGUAAGCAGUUGCCGGGAGCCAGUUUAGGGGGGUGAGGAGCCCUCGGGGCGGUGCAGGGAGACUCUAGAAGCAGCACGCAGCGGCCUGGAGUCCAAGAUCUGAGAUGUGGUGACGCGGCAGGAGGCCAAGGUCAUCAGGAAGCAAGAGAACGUGAAAGGCCUCGUCCACCAGGGCUGUGAGCCCAGGCUUUGCCUUGUAGGGGACGGGGGACCUCAGAAGGGUCUAAAGCACGGCUGUGAGCAUCAUGGGCGUUGGCUCUUAAGUAGCUCACGGCGGCCUCCCACCCUUCUUUCUCCCGUGUCCUCUCGUCUCCGCAUCUUGUGACUCCAAAGCCGCAUGUGAUUAUUGUGGUGAACCCUAAAAACAGGAAACGACUGGGGGCUGAUAUUCACACAUUCACAGUUCGCCCAGCUGGCAGGCAGGCCGGUCUGCCGGGGAAUAUUAUGGGCCUUUCUCUACCGGGGUCCCUGCUCCUGCUUGGUCUUUUCGUCGAUUCGCACUGCUCGCUCCUGUCCCCGAGGACCUGAGCGGGGGCAAGAGACAGGCUUGGGGACCAGAGGCCCCGGGGGAACGAAGCUCGCGAGAAGCCUGCGGUGACUGGGCCAUGCUCUUUCCGGUCUCAGCAAGUUUCAAGCUUUCGCUUUCACUCUCCUUCGGAGGGGAAAAUGAGGGCCCAGUUCUGAAGAUCACCUGCCUUCAGGGUUGUCCGCACCCCGGGCUUUAGGGGGGCCCCUAGGCCCCAAAGAUGGAUCCCUUGAUGUGUUGAAAACUUGGCGGUGAAGGGAAGCAAAAGUUCUUCGCUACCCUCAAGGUCUCCCACCCGAACUGACAAUUACAUCGAUGUGAGACAGAUUAACAGGAGAAAAAAACACCCUGAGUUUUAGGACGUGCAUAUGGAGACCUCAUAAUGAAAUGGAGACCUGCAGACGUGCCCGAGGAGGCAGUUUUUAUACUUUUUAGACAGACGAGAAAUCUGCGAGGAAUUGAGCGGACAAAGAACGCUUAGCUUUGGGGCUUUAAUUAGUAAAGAAUUCUAAGCAGACAUUGGGCAGGGGAGUAGAUUAGUGAAAAAUAGUUGUUUAUUUUUCCUCACCUCUGGUGAUAAGGAUAUACUCUUCACCUCCUGAUCCAGGGAAGGUGCCUUUCACAUGGGAGAUUUACUUCCUGUGUUCAGGGGUCAGAGGAGGGUCUGAGAAUCCUUGCACUGGCUGCCUCUUAAGUAACUUAUUUAAGAAAAAACCUUUUUUUAAAGUUUAUUUAUUUUUGAGAGUGAGAGAAAGAGAGAGAGAGAGAGAAAGAGAGAGAAAGAGACAGAGCGCAAGCAGGGGAGGAUAGGCGAGAGAAGGAGACACAGAAUCCGAAGCAGGCUCCAGGCUCCGAGCUGUCAACACAGAGCCUGAUGCGGGGCUCGAACCCAGGAGCUGUGAGAUCAUGAUCUGAGCCGAAGCUGGACACUCAACCGACUGAGCCACCAGGGCGCCCCAGUAACUUAUUGAAAUAACCAAAUAGCGACACCUGGGUAGCUCAGUUGGUUGAGCGUCUGAUUUUGUUCGGCUCAGGUCAUGAUCUCGCGGUCUGUGAGUUCGAGCCCCGUGUCGGGCUCUGGGCUGACAGCUUGGAGCCUGGAGCCGGCUUUGGAUUCUGUGUCUCCCUCUCUCUCUCUCUGCCCCUCCCCUGCUCACACACUCUCUCUCUCUUUCAAAAAUAAAUAAACAUUAAAAAAAAAAAUAACCACAUAUGCCCAACUGGCCCCUCUUGGGGUGGCCUGCCCUUGGUCCCUACAGCUGUUUAUAAACAACGUCUGCUUAAAUUAAAAAAAAAAAAAAAAUCUGAUCCCCACGACAAACUUGUGAUAGAGAUAAGGCAGACAGUAUUACACACACCUUGCAGAUGAUGGACUGAGGCUCAGAGAGAUUAGGUGACAUCUUUGGGGACACACAGCUGGCGAUCUGUGAAAAUGGAAGUGAGUGCAGCCCAGCAGCGGCAACACAGAAGCUCCCAGAACAGUGUCCUCGACGGAGGCAGCAGAACUGGCAUGGAAAUUCAUGUCGGGUUCUCCUCACCCCUGCUUUCCUAUUCCCUCACAGAGCAAGCCCAUCUGGGAGCUUUUCUCUCUCCAGGCCAGGCUCUGGGUGACCCCUGUCCACAGGGACAUCUCCCAGGCAUAUGGCAAAAUAUGGAUAAGACAGGUACUGCCUUAAGGAUAGGGCGCCUUAAGGGAGGGGCACCUGGGUGGCUCAGUCAGUGGAGCGUCCAGCUUCGGCUCAGGCUAUGAUCUCACGGUUCAUGAGUUCAAGCCCCACAUCCGGCUCUCCUCUGUCCCCCUCCCCACUCUCCCUCUGCCCCUCUCCCGCUCACACUCUCAUUCUCAAAAAUAAAUA